CGGUGUAGAGCCCCUGUGACGGAACUCUAUGCCGGAAAAGAAAAACGCUACCUUAUACUUAGAUUAGCUAAUCAGUAACAGAUUGUGUGGGUCCCACCCAUCCCCACCGACCAGCUGUUUACAGCAGCUAUCGAGGUUGGAGCUAACGGAGAGGACAGAGUGGGAAGCAGACCGUUGUUUUCUCUGAGUAGUGGAUGAGCAGGUUUAUAAAAAUAAAUGGUAGCUUGUAGGUGCCACUUCAUGUAGUAUUUAUUAUCGUUUUGUUUGGUUCUGAGUGCUGCUGAGACCUCAGUGGAGAGACGUAAUGUGAAAGAAUAAUGUAUACAGUGCUUGAAUAUGAAAUAACGGUGAGGUCAGACAUGGCUCACUAGGUAAUGUCAACUGUGUGCAUGCUUGAGAGUUUCUGAAAUGCUAUAAUGAGUCUCGUUAAAUUGUGUUUCUAAUAACCAUCUAAUUAGAAUUUUAGUAGUACAGCAUCGGGGCACACUGGCGCUGAUCGGGGAAAGAGCUUUUUUUCUGAAUAUAUAAUAUACAUUUGUGAGUCAUCCUCAGUAACACGUGUAGUGAGUCAUUGUUUAAUGAUAAUAAUGGCAGUCAGCUUUAUUUGUACUUAACACAUAUUCUCUGCUAUGCAGAUUUUGUCUUUUUAUACAAGGCACUGGAUUAUCUCUCAUGCCCUAGUUAAUUCACUGUAUAUAUUAACAGCACAGAAUGUCUUAUGUACAGUAAACUACAUUACACAAAGUAGUUUGGCUUCAUAAUAACAGCUUUCCCAGCCUCUUUGUCAACAAUUGAAAAAGUGAAAUUAAAAUGUAAAA
Molecule: long non-coding RNA, 818 nt
Organism: Bufo bufo (common toad)
Lineage: Eukaryota; Metazoa; Chordata; Amphibia; Anura; Bufonidae
Exons: 2
Source: RefSeq, a predicted model, not a curated record